UACGUAGGGGGCAAGCGUUGUCCGGAUUUAUUGGGCGUAAAGAGCGUGUAGGCGGCCAGACAGGUCAGCUGUGAAAACUCGAGGCUCAACCUCGAGACGUCGGUUGAAACCGUCUGGCUAGAGUCCGGAAGAGGAGAGUGGAAUUCCCGGUGUAGCGGUGAAAUGCGCAGAUAUCGGGAAGAACACCCGUGGCGAAAGCGGCUCUCUGGGACGGUACUGACGCUGAGACGCGAAAGCGUGGGGAGCGAACAGG
This 253-nucleotide ribosomal RNA is filed under the name uncultured bacterium. RNAcentral's name for it is "partial 16S ribosomal RNA". It matches the Rfam family "Bacterial small subunit ribosomal RNA", at positions 524 to 776 of the family's 1533-position model. The record is from RNAcentral.